GAGAGAGAGAGAGAGAGAGAGAGAGAGAGAGAGGAAACUUGAUACUCUUGUUUAAAACACAGAACUAAGCUCUUUCUUAUUUUGGAAAUUUCACAUCCACAUUUUGCUUCAGUGUAUUUAUAUUUCUAUCCUUCUUUCCUCACAUGUAUUUUCUUCUAAAAAAUGCUUUGUUUUAUCUUGAAAGACUCUAGAACCCAUUGCUGGUAGGCCUUUUUGAUUUUGAAGUCCUGAGCUGAUGCAUUUAAGUACUUCAAGAUACAUAUUACACAGUGUGUGAGGAGUAUGCUUUUCUUUUGGAAAGAUGAGAAACAGGAGCUGUGGAAGGAACUGGGAGUCAACAGGAUGAAGCCGCCAGGUUUCAAGCAUGUAGAAUCAGAAUAUUAAACUCCAGGAAAGUUACAUUCACUGGAAACCCUAAAUUUGAGAACAUAUUUGCACAUGAGGCACAUGCCCCUCACUUUUGAUAGUGGUGGGGCUGGAAUCCAGGUUCUCUCACAUGCUUGGCAAAAAUUGUACCACUGGUCUGCACAGCAGGCUCCUGAACCCCAUUUAUAGAUCCCUGGACGUACAGCAUGGGGGCAGUGAUGAAUGUGGAGAGACUUUCACAGUUUGAAAACAACCUGGAAAGUAGAAGCUACCCAUCUUUGAGUUUGUGUUGCAUUACUCAGGAGGUUGGGGACAUGGAUAGUGGGCCACUGGUGUUAUUAAUGAUGGUCCUUAAAGCAAUGUAGAGUUCUGUGCAGCUGGUCCCUAUCCCAGAAACUGAGAGUCAGGUUCCGUGGAGGCGAGACCUGCUUAAUCCAGAUAUUGCUGCAUCAAAGGUUACUCUCAUCCUAGCCAGUGGCCUCACUCGGUUUGUAAUCGGUUUGUAAUCGUCAAACUCUACAAGGACAGGUACUAUUUCCAUUUGGAUCCGAUGAUCCACUCUGGGACCAGGGAGUACCUGACCCAACUCAGAGCUGAAUCAGGAGUUAACAUCCUGUAUCCUCACUCUGUCCUCUACUAUCCAUGAACACAUCACUUGUAGGGGACAGAGGUGGUGAGUUAAAAAAAAAAAAGCCAGCAUUCAUACCGUGGGCUUCCUGUCGCUCCUCAAGCAGCCGAAAAUAGCUUGGCAGUAUCUCUGGUUAAGGAGACUGUCUCCAGAGUGCGCAACUCCACGCCCCUAAGGGGGAGGAUCAUGGGUAGAUCUGGGCCUGCGCCUGGACAGCGGACUACAGCUCCCAGAACGCUCCGGAGCACCUAAUGGGCCUUAAAGGGGAAGAGCCAGAGUCACUCAGGGUCUCUGCUUUCCUGGCCCCCACUCAGAAAUUCCUUCAAAGACUCUGAACUUCUCAAUGGAUGACCCAGAGGAAGAGGACAAGACUGAUGGGCUCCUGACAGUCUGUUCGGAGGUCAGCUGGAAUUCUUUCCUUACUCAGAGAAAAAGAGUAAGAAAUUCUUACUUAGAGAGGACACUUGGGAGAGUCUAAAAGGCAAAGUCAGAUGGGACUCAAGGACAACCAGAAGAAACCAUUACUGUCCCAGGCAAACUAUGAAUAUCUGGCAGACU
Molecule: long non-coding RNA, 1552 nt
Organism: Peromyscus leucopus (white-footed mouse)
Lineage: Eukaryota; Metazoa; Chordata; Mammalia; Rodentia; Cricetidae
Exons: 4
Source: RefSeq, a predicted model, not a curated record